UUGGAGCCGCCGCCGCCGCCGCGGCUUUUGGGGGUGAUGCCUUUGGCAGUGGCGGAGGCAGUGGCGGAGGCGGUGGCGGAGGCGGUGGCGGAGGCGGUGGCGGUGGCGGUGGCGGUGGCGGUGGCGGUGGCGGUGGCGGAGGCGGUGGCGGAGGCGGACUGUGCACGUCGGCUGUUGCUAUUGCCGUCGCCACCACCCCCAUCACCGGCGGCCAUCACCUCCGUCUCCGCCGCUG
RNAcentral lists this long non-coding RNA (235 nucleotides) under Volvox carteri. RNAcentral's name for it is "long non-coding RNA (VCAR_LNC000436)". The record is from RNAcentral. Lineage: Eukaryota; Viridiplantae; Chlorophyta; Chlorophyceae; Chlamydomonadales; Volvocaceae.